This 505-nucleotide ribosomal RNA is filed under the name uncultured bacterium. Its description in RNAcentral is "partial 16S ribosomal RNA". It matches the Rfam family "Bacterial small subunit ribosomal RNA", at positions 28 to 507 of the family's 1533-position model. The record is from RNAcentral.
GACGAACGCUGGCGGCGUGCCUAAUACAUGCAAGUAGAACGCACAGUUUAUACCGUAGCUUGCUACACCAUAGACUGUGAGUUGCGAACGGGUGAGUAACGCGUAGGUAACCUGCCUGGUAGCGGGGGAUAACUGUUGGAAACGAUAGCUAAUACCGCAUAAUAUUGAUUAUUGCAUGAUAAUUGAUUGAAAGAUGCUAUUGCAUCACUACCAGAUGGACCUGCGUUGUAUUAGCUAGUAGGUGAGGUAACGGCUCACCUAGGCGACGAUACAUAGCCGACCUGAGAGGGUGAUCGGCCACACUGGGACUGAGACACGGCCCAGACUCCUACGGGAGGCAGCAGUAGGGAAUCUUCGGCAAUGGACGAAAGUCUGACCGAGCAACGCCGCGUGAGUGAAGAAGGUUUUCGGAUCGUAAAGCUCUGUUGUAAGAGAAGAACGGGUGUGAGAGUGGAAAGUUCACACUGUGACGGUAUCUUACCAGAAAGGGACGGCUAACUACGUG